This 77-nucleotide transfer RNA is filed under the name Corynebacterium glutamicum S9114. RNAcentral describes it as "tRNA-Met". It matches the Rfam family "tRNA". From Rfam's summary of the family: Transfer RNA (tRNA) molecules are approximately 80 nucleotides in length. Their secondary structure includes four short double-helical elements and three loops (D, anti-codon, and T loops). The record is from RNAcentral. Lineage: Bacteria; Bacillati; Actinomycetota; Actinomycetes; Mycobacteriales; Corynebacteriaceae.
CGCGGGGUGGAGCAGCUCGGUAGCUCGCUGGGCUCAUCACCCAGAGGGCGUCGUUUAGAAUCCUGCCCCCGCUACUA